This 1165-nucleotide long non-coding RNA is filed under the name Rhipicephalus microplus (southern cattle tick). RNAcentral's name for it is "uncharacterized LOC119176024, transcript variant X3". Lineage: Eukaryota; Metazoa; Arthropoda; Arachnida; Ixodida; Ixodidae. The record is from RNAcentral.
UCUAGUAUGGCCGUUCUCUGACGAGGUCCAGUGCAAGGUGUUCUGCGGCGAGGUUCUGUGGGAUAAAGUGUUAAAUAGGUACUAGCUUAAGUGGCCGUUCGUGGAGCUUGAGUUGCGCCCAUUGUUAACCACAGACAUGAGCGAGAGCAAGCCUAGUCCUCUGCGACAAGCUGAAUCCGAAUCUGCGGCCAUGGAUCGGGAAUCGCGGGCGCCGCGGAGAAAUUUGAGUCAACUGAGGGAAGAUAUCAUUAACGCUAAAAAAGAACUCUGCGCUCUAAAAGCUCGUAGAAAGCGUGCUUAGAAAAGCUUAGCGGGGUCCAAGCUGCUGCGAGCAGUGUGCGCGCUCAAUGCGUUCAGUUCGCAAAAGAGAAUGACGAGAUGACCGCGAAGAUUUCAGAGCUCACCACGAAAAUUUGCGAGGAAAAAAUUUCGAGGCUAGAGAGAUAUGCCAGCGCUACGCAGAACCAUGGCCUCCUGCAGUACCUGAGUGGAGUUCGUGCAGCUUUGCGGAGAAUUGAUGGGAAUCCAGAAGAGAUGGAAAGCUUGGAAGCAACAUUAGAGCAGCGCUGUAGCAUGUAUUGUGACAGAGCUGGAUGCGAGUUUCCAAAGCAAGAAGGCCAAGCUGGACCAGGGACAGAGCGCCAAAACUGAAGAUGUCACAUUCAGAGCUGAGGAACACCAAGUACUGCUGUGAUUCUCAUGAAUGCAACUGUCACUGAAAAGUUUUCCGAUUACUUCGACGAUGCCCCCAUCAUCAGGAUUUCAGGAAGAAUGCAUCCGAUCAACCAGGUCUUUCUGGAAGACCUCCUUGCAGGGAAAAUCAUUACCAAAGCUUCAUCAGAAAAGAGCCGUAACAACCCGGUCAAAAUUGUGCCCGACGUUUUGGUGUACCUCAUGGAGAUAAGCCCAGCUGGAACGAGAUCAAUGUGCACGCUUGCGAAGCAAGCGAGCGCCGGCCAAGUUUCACGAAUGAAUUUCACCCCUGCACUCCCGUCUCGAUUACCAAGGGCAGUAAAAGAUCUUUGCAAGUCCUCCACCGGGGGCAAGUGGCUUUAAUGAGUAGCUAUGCUGCAGCUUGAAGCUUUCAAAGGAAACUGCAUUACACUUCUGUUCAGCAUUAUUUCAUUCCUAUAACUUCAGUUACAUUGCCUCAACAUUCGAAGAC